CUGCUAUCGGGAUGGGACUAAGACAUGCUAGUUAAGCGCCUUCCAGCCAUGUGGGAGGUGCAGCGCACAGCUCAGUAACACGUGGCUAACCUGCCCCUGGGACGGGACCAACCCCGGGAAACUGGGGCUAAUCCCCGAUAGGUGAAGAACUCUGGAAUGAGUCUUCGCCCAAAAGGCGUCAGAUCAUGCUUCUGGCGUCGCCCAAGGAUGGGGCCGCGACCGAUCAGGCUGUUGGUGAGGUAAUGGCCCACCAAACCUAUAACCGGUGCGGGCCGUGAGAGCGGGAGCCCGGAGAUGGGCACUGAGACAAGGGCCCAGGUCCUACGGGGCGCAGCAGUCGCGAAACCUUUGCAAUACACGAAAGUGUGACAGGGUCAUCCCGAGUGCCGACCGCUGAGGUUGGCUUUUACCCAGUCUAGAACGCUGGGGGAAUAAGGAGAGGGCAAGUCUGGUGUCAGCCGCCGCGGUAAUACCAGCUCUCCGAGUGGUGUGGACGUUUAUUGGGCCUAAAGCAUCCGUAGCUGGCUGAACAAGUCCCCUGUUAAACCCACCGAUUUAAUCGUUGGUCUGCGGGGGAUACUGUUCGGCUAGGGGACGAGAGAGGCAGACGGUAUUCCCGGGGUAGGGGUGAAAUCCUAUAAUCCCGAGAAGACCACCAGUGGCGAAGGCUGUCUGCUAGAACGCGCCCGACGGUGAGGGAUGAAAGCUGGGGGAGCGAACCGGAUUAGAUACCCGGGUAGUCCCAGCUGUAAACGAUGCAGACUAGGUGUUUGGACGGCCACGUGCCGUUCUAGUGCCGCAGGGAAGCUGUUAAGUCUGCCGCCUGGGGAGUACGAUCGCAAGAUU
RNAcentral lists this ribosomal RNA (846 nucleotides) under uncultured archaeon. Its description in RNAcentral is "bacterial SSU rRNA". It matches the Rfam family "Archaeal small subunit ribosomal RNA", at positions 27 to 850 of the family's 1478-position model. The record is from RNAcentral.